RNAcentral lists this ribosomal RNA (254 nucleotides) under uncultured bacterium. RNAcentral's name for it is "partial 16S ribosomal RNA". It matches the Rfam family "Bacterial small subunit ribosomal RNA", at positions 524 to 776 of the family's 1533-position model. The record is from RNAcentral.
GACAGAGGUGCCAAGCGUUAGGCGGAAUCACUGGGCUUAAAGCGUGUGUAGGCGGCCUGCUAAGUGCCUUGUGAAAUCCCACGGCUCAACCGUGGAAUUGCUGGGCAUACUGGUAGUGCUUGAGCCAUCUAGGGGCAACUGGAACAAACGGUGGAGCGGUGAAAUGCGUAGAUAUCGUUUGGAACGCCAAUGGUGAAAACAGGUUGCUGGGGAUGUGCUGACGCUGAGACACGAAAGCCAGGGGAGCAAACGGG